RNAcentral lists this long non-coding RNA (223 nucleotides) under Elaeis guineensis (African oil palm). RNAcentral describes it as "long non-coding RNA (EGUI_LNC064744)". Lineage: Eukaryota; Viridiplantae; Streptophyta; Magnoliopsida; Arecales; Arecaceae. The record is from RNAcentral.
CGAUCGUGACUCCCUCGACUCCAGCUUCUCCGAUGCAGAUGGAUUUUUGCACCAACAAGGCUGAAUACAAAACUUGUCAUAGAUCGCUGAGUGUCCACAUCUCCACCAAAAUUAGUAUCUACGAACCCUCCUAUCAGCCUUCAAGCCUCUUUGGACAUAUUAAAGAGUCCUUCAGCACUUCCUCACUAUCCAUAGCAAAUGCUGACUCCAACAGUACCCACCA